UACAGAGGGUGCAAGCGUUAAUCGGAAUUACUGGGCGUAAAGCGUGCGUAGACGGUUAUGUAAGUCAGAUGUGAAAGCCCCGGGCUUAACCUGGGAAUGGCAUUUGAGACUGCAUAGCUAGGGUGCGGAAGAGGGAAGCGGAAUUUCCGGUGUAGCGGUGAAAUGCGUAGAUAUGUGGAGGAACACCGAUGGCGAAGGCAGCCCCCUGGGUUAACACUGACGCUCAUGCACGAAAGCGUGGGGAGCAAACAGGG
RNAcentral lists this ribosomal RNA (254 nucleotides) under uncultured bacterium. Its description in RNAcentral is "partial 16S ribosomal RNA". It matches the Rfam family "Bacterial small subunit ribosomal RNA", at positions 524 to 777 of the family's 1533-position model. The record is from RNAcentral.